AUUGAACGCUGGCGGCAGGCCUAACACAUGCGAGUCGAGCGGAUGAAGGGAGCUUGCUCCUGGAUUCAGCGGCGGACGGGUGAGUAAUGCCUAGGAAUCUGCCUGGUAGUGGGGGAUAACGUCCGGAAACGGGCGCUAAUACCGCAUACGUCCUGAGGGAGAAAGUGGGAGAUCUUCGGACCUCACGCUAUCAGAUGAGCCUAGGUCGGAUUAGCUAGUUGGUGGGGUAAAGGCCUACCAAGGCGACGAUCCGUAACUGGUCUGAGAGGAUGAUCAGUCACACUGGAACUGAGACACGGUCCAGACUCCUACGGGAGGCAGCAGUGGGGAAUAUUGGACAAUGGGCGAAAGCCUGAUCCAGCCAUGCCGCGUGUGUGAAGAAGGUCUUCGGAUUGUAAAGCACUUUAAGUUGGGAGGAAGGGCAGUAAGUUAAUACCUUGCUGUUUUGACGUUACCAACAGAAUAAGCACCGGCUAACUUCGUG
RNAcentral lists this ribosomal RNA (484 nucleotides) under uncultured bacterium. Its description in RNAcentral is "partial 16S ribosomal RNA". It matches the Rfam family "Bacterial small subunit ribosomal RNA", at positions 30 to 507 of the family's 1533-position model. The record is from RNAcentral.